GCUCUCUGCCUCUCUCCCAUUCCUUAAAAAAAUACCCUAGCCGCCGCUCUGUUCUUCCUCUCUCCCCUGUCGUCGGCCGCCGCCCAUCCCUCAGCUGGCCGCGCCCCAACCCUAGCCGCCGUCGCCGCACUCCUCUUCCUCUCUCCGCUGGCGUCAUGCGGUUCGGCAGCCGGCGCCCAGCUCCUCAUCCUCCAUCGCACACCGCGCCGCCCCAGCUCCUCGUCCUGCCCCCAUCGUCUCUCUCUCUCUCUCCGGGUCCCCUACCGCCACCCCCCUCCUCUCCAACGGCUGGGCGCUGCCCCUGGAUCCCGCAACUCCCUCGUCGUGGAAUGGGCGCAGCUUCGCCAGCUAGCGCAUCCUGGGCAUGACGCAGGCGGGCGGACCAAAAGCGGCGUUGCAUCUUCUUCCCUAUGCUCCAACUCCCCUUCGACCAAUCUCACGGCAGUUUGAGGCCACAACAACGGUCAGACGCCGACAAUUCUAGGAGAUUGGACGUUGGGGACGGCAAGAUCUGAGCCGCGAUGGCCGGAUCCGGGCUCUCUCCCUUCUCUCCUCCCCCUGUCGUUUGCGCUUAUUCAAACAUCAGCGCUGAGAGCUCCUCUCCAACAUCUGUGCCUAAUGUUCAGAGUUUGAUGCCUAGGAUCUUCAUGUGAAGUAGAUAUAUGUCCAGUUGCGCAAGCACAUAAAGAAUCCACUAAUAUAAUUUGAUAAUUAUGCUAGAGAAUGAAAGAUGAAUCGGUUUGUCCUGGUUACUCUUUAUUUUUAGGUUUUCUCCUUACCUUGUCUCCUUAAUAUGACAACAUGUAAUUACUCUUGCCCAUCUUAAGUGAGAAAGCAGAGCACCUGUUCCUAGAAGACGAUAAUAUGUCUGUGACUAUCCCUAGGUGGUUCAAAAUUGACACUGCCAUAAAGAGUGCCAUAAAGAGUGCAAAGUAAACUCGGUACCUAUAUGUGUAGCAGGAUAACACUGUAUCUUCAAUUUGAUUUAAGAUGUCCUUGUCAUUCUGAUAUCUCCAAUUUGGUACUUUUUAUCAUUUAAAUGAUUGCCCUUCAGUUCCUUUGCCUUCCAGAUUUGAAAGGACAUUGCUUAAUGACCUUCCCAAGCGUACAUUUAAUUAUAUGCAUAUUUCUUAUGACUCCAUUGCUAUUUCUAUUAGAUUGUGAGUAUAUAGGGAGCAAAUAUUUGUAACUAGCAUGACAUAAUAUAAUUUCACCUCUUCUUUUUCUUGUGCUGAAUAUUACUGGUUUUUAGUUAUAAGUUGUCAAUUUUUUUAGAAAACUUAUUGUGCAUAGACAGACUUGAUAUAGAUGCCAUCACAAGUAAUACUGCUUACAGACAUAGAUGUCUUUGAUUUUGAGCGAAUUGGUGAGCCAAAAGUUCAGUGUCUAAAAACAAGUGCAUUUAAGAUGAGGUAGAUUAAUUUCUUCAUGUCGAACCAACAUAUUAUUUUGCCUACAAUCAAGAAAGACUGAAAGAGAAUCUGUUUGAUUAAAUGCCUCAAUGCUCGACAACUAUUUACUUGUACCUGCUUGUGUCUAUUUAAUAUGCAUGUGACAUUGCUUGUCAGAUCCAAUAUUGCAUAGAAUGAAAUGCCACAUGCUGCUUUUUUCAUGCAUUUAAAUAUCCAUUAGAUCCCUUCUAGAGUAUUGCUUAUUAAGUCAACUUACUGCUCGAGUAACUUGCAUAGCAGGUCUUUUUACAUUAUUCUGACUAAAUAUUUGGUGCCAGAACAUUUUGUCUACACGUCUUAUGCUAGGUAUCUUUUUCUUUCAAUCUUUGAUUACCAAUUACUUGUCACAUAGCUUGAGCUUUCCCUGAGCUAAACUAUAUGCAUUUGGUGAAAUAUCCUUGUUGCUUAGAUUCUGACAGAACUCAUGUGCGAUUGAUUGUUUGUGACCUACUUCUUUCACUGAUACAAUGACCGUGAGAAGGAAAUUUAUUGUUACUCUAUAGCUUUGCAUUGCUAUGACUAGAUGUGUUGUGAUCUGAAUUCUGAAGUGAGCAUACCUGAUGUGGUGGUUGGAACUGGAUGGUUGCUAACUGAUUACUUUUGGGAAAAUUUUGGGUUCCAGGAAUAGCCAUCAUGAUCAAGGGAGUGAGCGUCCGCAACAAAUCAUAAGAUCAUUCAUCCUCUCCAGGCUGGAGGUUGUUGCAUCCAAUCUGAAUGACAGAAUUGUGAGGUGCAGUGGAGUACAAGUCCCAGCUGUACCUUGAGCUGACUUGCUACCACUACCAGUUCCGUUAGUAUUUGCCCUUAGACUAUCUGGACCAUACAUUCUUGAGCUUUAAGUUAUGCUAGCUUCAUUUAGUAAUCACCUUUUAUGAUCACAAUAGAGAUGAAUCACUACCACAUGAUUUAUUAAUUCUGUUGCCUUAGAAUAGUGAUGAUUUGCUUUAUUCUCUCAAAAACAGCGAUUUCCCUUUAAGUUUGACCAUUUUCCCAUUCCUCUUGUGACCUCUGUUUUGCAAGACAUAAUUAGUUGGUUUAGAAAUUA
Long non-coding RNA from Setaria italica (foxtail millet), 2496 nucleotides. RefSeq lists it as uncharacterized. The transcript has 3 exons. The record is from RefSeq and is a predicted model, not a curated record. NCBI's taxonomy places the organism in Eukaryota, Viridiplantae, Streptophyta, Magnoliopsida, Poales, Poaceae.